This 91-nucleotide microRNA precursor is filed under the name Canis lupus familiaris (dog). Its description in RNAcentral is "mir-8799 microRNA precursor family". It matches the Rfam family "mir-8799 microRNA precursor family". Lineage: Eukaryota; Metazoa; Chordata; Mammalia; Carnivora; Canidae. RNAcentral also lists the same sequence under 1 other name. The record is from Rfam by way of RNAcentral.
GGGUGGAGCGCAGGAUCUUGGGCUGUUUCUCUGGCGCCCUGUGCUCCCUGGCCUGCAACUGUUGGAAUCGCUCCUGGUUGCGCAGCUCCCU